CAGGACCCAGCAUGGACACGAGGGCCCCCACUCAGCUGCUGGGGCUCCUGCUGCUCUGGCUCCCAGGUACCAGAUGUGCCCUUGUGAUGACCCAGAAUCCAGCCUCCGUGUCUGCAGCUGUGGGAGGCACAGUCACCAUCAAUUGCCAGGCCAGUCAGAGUGUUUAUAAUAACAACUGGUUAUCCUGGUAUCAGCAGAAACCAGGGCAGCCUCCCAAGCUCCUGAUCUACAAGGCAUCCACUCUGGAAUCUGGGGUCCCAUCGCGGUUCAAAGGCAGUGGAUCUGGGACACAGUUCACUCUCACCAUCAGCGGCGUGCAGUGUGACGAUGCUGCCACUUACUACUGUCUAGGCAGUUAUUAUAGUUAUAGUAGUGGUGAUACCACAGUGAUACAAGCCCUAACAAAAACCCCCCAGGAAAGCAGAAGUAUCAACCAAUCGAAGCCUCCUCCUCCACUCUCGUCCUUUGAUAGCUGA
Lepus europaeus (European hare) is the source of this 476-nucleotide non-coding RNA. NCBI's taxonomy places the organism in Eukaryota, Metazoa, Chordata, Mammalia, Lagomorpha, Leporidae. The record is from the annotation of a RefSeq genome assembly.